Castor canadensis (American beaver) is the source of this 251-nucleotide non-coding RNA. The record is from RefSeq and is a predicted model, not a curated record. Lineage: Eukaryota; Metazoa; Chordata; Mammalia; Rodentia; Castoridae.
AGAUGUAUACGAUCUCUUUCCUGGGACAUUCCAAACAAUUGAACUGUUUGCAGAUCACCAAGGAACAUGGCUACUACACUGUCAUGUGUCUGACCACAUCCAUGCUGGCAUGGAGACAACCUACACAGUACUCCGGAACAUAGACAACAGGAUUCCAUACUCCACUAAGUCUCCUUCUGGAGGAGUAUCCCACCCAACCAUGGUGCCCUCCAAUGAACAACCUGGCAAAGAGGAGCUCUAUUUCUUUGGCA